GAUACAGCCAUGCCGCGUGAGUGAUGAAGGCCUUUGGGUUGUAAAGCUCUUUUUUCGGGGAAGAAAAUGACUGGACCCGUACAAGAUUGACGGGACUAUACC
This 102-nucleotide ribosomal RNA is filed under the name uncultured Alphaproteobacteria bacterium. Its description in RNAcentral is "partial 16S ribosomal RNA". Lineage: Bacteria; Pseudomonadati; Pseudomonadota; Alphaproteobacteria. The record is from RNAcentral.